Molecule: ribosomal RNA, 418 nt
Filed under: uncultured eukaryote
Lineage: Eukaryota
Description: eukaryotic LSU rRNA
Rfam family: Eukaryotic large subunit ribosomal RNA
Source: RNAcentral
CCCGCGCGAGCGAGAGGGCGAGAGGCCCAUCCGCGCAACGAAAGCGAAUGGCGGGACGCUCUCCCGCAGGGGGCGGCGCCGCCGGCCGGACGUCCUCGAGGUCGGACCGAGCCGGAGCGCUCGCGUCGGGACCCGAAAGGUGGUGAUCUAUCCGUGCGCGCGGCGAAGCCGGGGGAAACCCCGGUGGAGGCCCGUCGACGGUACUGACGUGCAAAUCGUUCGUCCGACGUGCGAAUAGGGGCGAAAGACCAAUCGAACCUCCUAGUAGCUGGUUUCCGCCGAAAAUUUCCCUCAGGAUAGCGGCCAUCGCGGAAACGUUUUGACCGGUAGAGCGAACGACUAGAGGUACCGGGGCCGUAACGGCCUCGACCUAUUCUCGAACUCCGAACGGGCAAGGAGCCGGGGUCGCCCGAUCGGA